CAGAGAAUAGUUUAUUAAAAUAUUAAUUUUGGAGAUUAAUGAUAAGGGCUUACCUUUUCUCUGA
This 64-nucleotide transfer RNA is filed under the name Cucujoidea sp. 31 KM-2017. Its description in RNAcentral is "tRNA-Pro". Lineage: Eukaryota; Metazoa; Arthropoda; Insecta; Coleoptera. The record is from RNAcentral.